Molecule: non-coding RNA, 330 nt
Organism: Plectropomus leopardus (leopard coralgrouper)
Lineage: Eukaryota; Metazoa; Chordata; Actinopteri; Perciformes; Serranidae
Source: RefSeq, a predicted model, not a curated record
CUGAAACCAAACCAACUUUUUGUGUCGUUCUGCUUUCAGGAGCUGAUUGCCAUCGGCCUGUGUAACUUCAUCAGCUCUUUCUUCCAAACUUUCGCCAUCACCUGCUCCAUGUCAAGGAGCCUGGUGCAGGAGAGCACUGGUGGAAAAACACAGAUUGCAGGGCUGCUGGCGUCUCUCAUGGUGCUGCUGGUGGUGGUAGCCAUUGGUUUUGUCUUCCAGCCGCUCCCUCAGACUGCACUGGCUGCAAUCAUCAUGGUGAAUCUGUUGGGGAUGUUCAAACAGUUCAGAGACAUUCCUGCUCUGUGGAGGACGAGCAAGAUCGAACUGGUA